Molecule: long non-coding RNA, 6103 nt
Organism: Anguilla rostrata (American eel)
Lineage: Eukaryota; Metazoa; Chordata; Actinopteri; Anguilliformes; Anguillidae
Exons: 2
Source: RefSeq, a predicted model, not a curated record
UGCAUUGCAUUACUUUACGCAAAUAUGACUGUCAACGACAGGCUGGUCUGACGUGACCGACACUAGCAACCUUACACCACCGCCUAGUGGACGGAUUGAUGAACGACAAGUAUCGCCGCGACAAUUUAAUCAAACUGCGGCGUGAUGCAGGAUGCGCACAGCGAUAAUAACGAAUGCAGGUUUGCACGUGUUUUUCUAAGCUUUUCUCCUUAUCAAUAAGCUUAGUUGUCCUUGAGCAGGUGGAUAAUUAUCACUGGCCUCAGUCUGUGGCAGAUUAAUGGAAGUGCUGUGCUCGCCACAAACUGCGGUCCCACGGGGUUCAUGUGGGCGGUGGUCCUGCGAUCUUAUAGAGGCUCCACGUCGAGAGUAAAACGUGGCGCCUGACGGACUGUCGGCUCGGUCCCAUGAAUAAUAGAGCAGGGUCGCUAAUGUCGGACCGCCUGGACAUAAAGUAAGCAAAAAUGCACAGGAGGAAUUAAAUUAAUUGAUGUCUUUUCUAUAUUUUAAUUUUGAGUUAGCACUACUGUUACUGAGUAGCAGUUUGGCAGUCAUUAGAUUUGGAAAAUGUUAAUCCGUCGACAAUUAUUGAUGAUUCUAGAUGAUUAUUAUGAUAACAUAUUUGCUUACAUUUUACAUAGGCACCGUUUAAUAUUAGUUUACCAUUUUGCUAAAAUGCUACAUUCAGACUAGUUGGUCAACCAGAGAGACAGGAAAGGUUAAUCAACUUGGAACUAACUACAGUUUCUUUUCAGAAUGAAAUAUCAAUAUCUGACAUCGGUAUAUAGCCAUGCAUUACAAUGAUGUUUCCACUUUAUUGUAGAAAAGGGCUUGUCAUUAAGAAUACAGAAAGGACUGUUCGAGGGAAAAAGAGAAAGAUAAAAAAGAGGAGAUUCCUUCAUCACUGUUUUUGAAGGACAGUAGGUCAAACAUGAAUUUUUGCCCCUCUCAAUUUGAUUAGAUUUUUUUCAUCAGAUAUGGCACAGCUGUUAUAAAUCCCAUUUUGAGGAUGUUUUUAUUUAUUUCCAAGUCAUUUUAGCUUUGUUACUGAACUAGCAAUUUGUUUCAUUUCACACAUUCAGGAAUGAUAAAGGUGAGGAAUUAUUGCUUCACAUUUCAGACCUGGUGUUGAGUUCCAGCUGCCUCUCCACACCAUUUAUUAAUUUUACCCUUUAUCAGUCAUCUUAUGUUUUCUUGUGUUUUCUUGGACAGUUUUUUCAAUUAAAUGGACAGUUUUUCAAUGAAAAAUAUACCACAUCGUAUGCAAAAAUACCAAAAAUGACCAAACUAUUUGGGUAAAAAGUAUUACAUUUUACUUUUCAUGUAUAUAAUUAAUUUUCGUUCAAACUCUACUUGCAAUCUGUAGGUGGAAUGUUGUGCCUUUUUAAUUCAUCAAGCAUUCUGACAAUGUUCUUUUAGCACUCCCGUGUCUGUAUUGUUUAUUAAUCAGACUGGCUAGAAAUAUAUAUGUGAAUGAGGAACAGAAUGUCCAUAUCCAUCUGGACUCUAGAGCUCCUAGAACUUCCUGUCCGUCUCGUUCGUCUGGCGAAUGUAGUCCGCAGUGCCCCCUUCUGGCGAAGGAUGGUACCUUUCGGAGAAGGUGACAUUCGCACGCAGUGGGAUCCUCAUCCUUGCCAGGCUGGCAGAUGCUCAGAUCGCAGGUGGAGCGCUCACACAGGAGAGGGAGAUCCUGCGCUUGUGCCAGCCUACAAACUCACCCACCAGCCUGCCCACAUCUCCACCUGCCUGCUGCUUCCCUGACCCCAAGCCGGGUCUCAGUGUUGCGUAAAAUCAUGCGCGUCCGUAAUGAGCUCUUUCUGUCAGCGUCCCCCGCAGAUGGCGUAACAGUUUAAUGGAUUGUAUUCAGGCUGACGGACACCUGCAUCUUACUUUCUUCCUGCAGUACCAUCAAGAGACAAUAGAUGGCAGUAAACAACUAGGAAUCUGCUUAGAGUUCAUUGCAGUUGGUCCUGUUUUAGGCAGUAUUACAUUUUUUUAAGCUCUGUGAGAAAAUGUUAAAGUCACUCAAAUUCUAAAAACCUGAACUCCAAAUUUUCCAACAAGUAUUUAGAUCACACAGACAAUUUGUCAUUUUAAUGUCUUUUUUGGGGGGGUGUGUCAACCACACUGUACUCGCAUAAUGCAGUACAGUGUGGUUGACAGUGUCAUGGUCCUGUGUUCCUGUCUGCGUGUUUCCUUGUUGGGCCGCCAGAUGGCGGCACUUCGGUUUUGUGUCCUGUUUAAUUGUAUUAUUGUUUCCAAUUGUCCUGUUAGUGUUUGCUGGUUGUCUCGUUUUCCCCUCCUUCUCUGUGGCCUGAUUGUUCAUGGUGCCCUCCUGUGUCUCGUCAGUGUCUGUUCUAUUUAAGUUUCCCUCUUCCUUGACUCAGGUGCUGGAUCCUUGUGGUUAUGUCUGGUUGUUUUGUGUGCCCCUACCCAAGUACCUGCUCCAUGUGUUCCUGCCCAUGUCCUGGUUUCCUGGUGUUUUUUGGAUUUCCUGCAUUUACUUUGUUCCUGUCUUUUGAAGUUUUCCUUGUUUGUUGAAGGUUGCCAUGUGAGGCAACCUUUUUUUUUGUUCCCUUUUGUUUCAAGUAAAGUCUUUUUGUUCUUUCAUUUGGAGUUUUGUAUUUUUCCACCCUCUGCGUUUGGGUCCAAACCCCCCACGCAUCCUGACAGACAGCUCAAUUGUAUUAUCUUUGAAUAACUGUGACAUACUGUUAUUCAUACAUGUUAGGCUAGGUAUUUUUCUUUGGGCAAUUAUGUAUGCUUGAAAAAACACUGCAGGUGUUCAUUAUUUUAAUUCAACCUUCUUUGCUCAUCAUAAUUGUGGAGGGCACCAUAUAUGUUAUAAUACUUUGAUUCGGAGACAUCUUUAAUGGGCACUGACUUUUCUUCUUCAGAUCAGUGAUUGUUUUGAUAUCAUCUUCAAGAGCUGUUUCAGAUAGUGUAGUGACCCAGAGUGCCACAAAUGGGUGAAGUGUAUGCGCUUACACAUACAGUAUAGCUGACAUACACUCACCGGCCACUUUAUUAGGUACACCUUGCUAGGACCGGGUUGUCUUCUGCUGCUGUAGCCCAUCUGCUUCAAGGUUCGAGGUGUUGUGCAUCCAGAGAUGCUCUUCUGCAUACCUUGGUUGUAACGAGUGAUUAUUUGAGUUACUGCUGCCUUUCUAUCAGCUCAAACCAGUCUGGCCAUUCUCCUCUGACCUCUGCCAUCAACAAUGCAUUUUUGCCUUGUUUUGAGAACUGCCGCUAACUUGAUAUUUUUUCUUUUUGGGACCAUUCUCUGUAAACCCUUGAGAUGGUUGUGCAAGAAAAUCCCAGUAGAUCAGCAGUUUCUGAAACACUCAAACCAGCCCUUCUGGCACCAGCAACCGUGCCACGUUCAAAGUCACUUAAAUCACCUUUCUUCCCCAUUCUGACGGUUGGUUGAUGUCUACAUGCCUAAAUGCAUUGAGUUGCUGCCACGUGAUUUGCUGAUUAGAUUUCUGCGUUAAUGUGCAGUUGAACAGGCGUACCUAAUAAAGUGGCCGGUCAGUGUACAUGUUAAAUAGUUGGACUUAAACUGCAGCCCUACCCUGCUUCACACCCCUGCUUGAAGCUCUCUCUUCUUUUGUUGCCAAUUUUGAUGUUGGACAUUUGUCUUAAUAAUGUCAUUUAUAACUCUGCCUGCGUUGUGAGCUUCUUAUGCAAGCGCAGAGGAUGGUGCAUGUUCAAAAAUAGCAGCUUCCAACUCUCUCUCUCUCUCGGUAUGUGCUUGUCCAUACGCACGAGGAACAGGUCAUUCAGGACACCCGGGAGAGCUCCGUGGCUAUGGAUCCCUUCCAGAGACCUUUUCUCACAUCAGGCCAUGGAGUAACCUGACAGAGGCUCCGCCCCACGCUGAUUGAUGUCUCUCCCUUGGCAUUAUUUGUGGGGCUCUCAGAAACCUCUUAGCGAAAGAUACUUCAAGACGUAUUGCUUGUUUCCAGUUACAGCCACCUUGUCAUCUGAAGCAGACCCUGUUCAUGGCCAUGUGAGGCAGCUGGCUUUGGUGGGUGGGACACUGGGGAGGUGGGCUGAAACCACGCCCAUCGGGCGUUUCCCAUGAGCCCUCCAGUUACGUGCAGGGUCUGCCAUAUCUGCAGACUGGCUGUUCCAUUGGUGUAAAUACGCCAGUGACAUCAUCACGGUCGUGCCACAAACCUCCAGGUGUGAGGGCAGCCAGUGCUAUCAGAGUCCAUGUCUACUUGACCCUCAUCCACAUUGACAGAAGGGAUGGACUUUGAAGUCAUCAGCUGAACAGCUGCACAGACAGCUCUUUUUUCUGUUUGGGUUUUUGUGCAUGUGCACGUAUUCAUGUGUGUACUUGUGGAGAGAGACUGAAAAGGCACCCUUUCAGAAAGCAGAACUUUUUAUUUUAUGUUUUAUCGAAACAAUGUUUCAACGUUUUAUGUGACAAAUGGUAAAUUUACAGUGAGGAGGUACAAACAUUGUAAUAGCUUGUCACAAUGGCAGUGUACAGUAGAUAAACACGUGAUGCUUUAAAACCAUUGUGCAAUGUGUAACACAUAACUAGAUAAGGAAGUGUAUGGUUGUCAAGGCAGUUAUAUGGUCUAUUUUAGCAUCGUCCCAUACAAAAAAUAUGAUAAAUGAUUCAAUGUCUACUUUUCCAAAUAAGUAAUGUUUACGUGCCACGGGGCGAAAACGUUAUAAAAAUAUAAAGCUGACCCUCUGACACCAGAAACAUGUAGCAUGCAUGAACACCAAGCUUUGGAGUCUUUGAACAUUUUUUGAAAGUAAAUAUUUUUUCAAUUUUUAAAUUGAAUUUAAAGCAUCUUAUCUAACAAUACAAAUACCUAACAAUACCUAACAGUAAAAUUACAUAAUAGAAUUAUAUUAUUUGCAAAUAUCUAAAUUACAAUGCAUGUGUAUCAAGUUCCUCUUGCGCCAGAGUUUUUGACCAGACAUUAAGUCAACAUCUGAUUACUUACAAAUGAAAAUAAUAUUGACAUUGCUCCACAGUUUUAUUUAAAGUUCACAGGCUUCACCUUUCGGUUGUAAAAGAGAGGUUUACUCCAGAGCAAAAGCCAGAAUCUACAUGUCUAGAGGGGUGGAAAUCUAGCCUGAGAGACACCUUGAUAUAAGCAGACUUGGUUAACCGCAAUAUAGCUCAGGUUUUACCUGCAUAUAGCUUGGCUAUGUCGUAGUAAGCUAGAAAACUUUCACUUUUCGACCAAAUGCAGCCGGGUUUUCACCUAGACUCCAUUUCAUCAAAAUUUUCACUGAAAAGAUAACUUUCAACCAGCAGGCUGAGAAAAUGAAGGACUUGAGGCAAUGGAAAUAGGAAGACAAGAACACAAUGGAUUUGUGGAUGUAUUGAAAACCGUUGCUGCCCAAUGAUGAAAAUUUACUUUGGUCAAGACCAGGACAAAUUAGACAAUUUAUUUAGCGCAUCCAGAAUUGUGCAUUACCAUACAAUGCAUCGUCAGAAAACACUGUAUGCAUUUCUCUUUGCUGUUCUAGGUAUGUGGAUUGUUAUGGCAACAGCCGGCCUCUUCCGGUUGGGUUGAAUAACCUGUUCAACAGGUAACAAUGGCAUACUCCAGUUCCUUAUGUGAGCCUGUUCAUUAUGCUGAUGCAAUCUCAAUUCAUUGAAUUCAGUGGGCAUGACCAUAACUACAACUGGGGGCAUGUCAUGUCCAGCAACUCCACAUUGUUUUAAACUGCUGUUUAAUUCUGCCAUCACUGAGAAUGAGUACUAACUGUAACCUCAUUAUGAAACAAUACAAAUCUUUAAUUAAAAUAAUGAUCCGGAUUUGUAAUUCUUAGUCUUUUCUUGUUAAAUGAGUAUUGAGCUAGAGAUACAGUAAAUAGCUUUGUUGUUUGUGUGAACAGGUGAGAAAGAGUGAGAUGUCCAAAGAUGAAAAAUAACUCAUUUUGUUCUUUUUUUGUUCUUUUAUAUACAGAAUUUUGUCACAAUGUCUAUAAAUGAAUUGAAAACACGGAUUGGCAAAAAUGACCACAGCAAUGUACUUUGGGUAGAUGGAUGCACUGACAACAGAGAGAUCUGAAAUCAUCGCAGUAUGAACAUUGGAAUUAAUAAUAACAUUUGCAAUACCUUGGAAAA